UAAAUACUCCCUCCGUCCGAAAAUACUUGUCAUCAAAAUGGAUAAAAAGAGAUGUAUCUAAAACUAAAAUACGUCUAGAUACAUUUCCUUUUAUCCAUUUUGAUGAAAACUAUUUCCGGAUGGAGGGAGUAUUUG
This is a non-coding RNA of Triticum aestivum (bread wheat), 135 nucleotides long. Lineage: Eukaryota; Viridiplantae; Streptophyta; Magnoliopsida; Poales; Poaceae. The record is from Rfam.